This 601-nucleotide ribosomal RNA is filed under the name Psychrobacter submarinus. RNAcentral describes it as "bacterial SSU rRNA". It matches the Rfam family "Bacterial small subunit ribosomal RNA", at positions 89 to 688 of the family's 1533-position model. The record is from RNAcentral. Lineage: Bacteria; Pseudomonadati; Pseudomonadota; Gammaproteobacteria; Moraxellales; Moraxellaceae.
CGUCGAGCGGCGGACGGGUGAGUAACACUUAGGAAUCUACCUAGUAGUGGGGGAUAGCUCGGGGAAACUCGAAUUAAUACCGCAUACGUCCUACGGGAGAAAGGGGGCAACUUGUUGCUCUCGCUAUUAGAUGAGCCUAAGUCGGAUUAGCUAGUUGGUGGGGUAAAGGCCUACCAAGGCGACGAUCUGUAGCUGGUCUGAGAGGAUGAUCAGCCACACCGGGACUGAGACACGGCCCGGACUCCUACGGGAGGCAGCAGUGGGGAAUAUUGGACAAUGGGGGCAACCCUGAUCCAGCCAUGCCGCGUGUGUGAAGAAGGCCUUUUGGUUGUAAAGCACUUUAAGCAGUGAAGAAGACCUAACGGUUAAUACCCGUUAGCGAUGACAUUAGCUGCAGAAUAAGCACCGGCUAACUCUGUGCCAGCAGCCGCGGUAAUACAGAGGGUGCAAGCGUUAAUCGGAAUUACUGGGCGUAAAGCGAGCGUAGGUGGCUUGAUAAGUCAGAUGUGAAAUCCCCGGGCUUAACCUGGGAACUGCAUCUGAUACUGUUAGGCUAGAAUAGGUGAGAGGAAGGUAGAAUUCCAGGUGUAGCGGUGAAAUG